UGCUCCCUCCCCCACCCAGUCCUUCCUGCUCCCUCCCUCUAUUCUUCCACUUCACUUCCCCCUCAAUCACUCGCCACCCACCUCCUUCCUGCUCUGCUCUCCUUCCACACCACAUUCCCGUGAGUCUCUCACCGCAGAAGACUGAGUAGAUCUAGGAGGGCGCGAUGGGUUGAGGAGCACUCCCUCGGUGUGGAUGAUUUGCUUGCUUAGUUGAGCAGCGAUUCCUCACCUCCAUCUGGCAGCAAGCAGUAACUUAUAGAGGUAAAUCUGAUUCCUUUCGGUGUGAUUCGUACUGGAGUUUAUUCUACUGGCACUUGAUUCUUCUGUUCGUCCUGCUCAAUAUCUCAUCCUGGUGGAAUUGUUGUCCUGUUUGGGUGCCCUACCAGAUCGUUGGUAGCCAAGCUGCAACUUGUAAAAGCGAUUUUGAUUUCCUUCAGCAGUGUAUUUAGUAUUUGCACGGCAUUGAUGACGGCAGAUGCACUAACCAGUGAACUCCUUUUGAUUCAUGGACGCAGGUGCGGUACUGAGAGAUCUNNN
This 537-nucleotide long non-coding RNA is filed under the name Triticum aestivum (bread wheat). Its description in RNAcentral is "long non-coding RNA (TAES_LNC008092)". Lineage: Eukaryota; Viridiplantae; Streptophyta; Magnoliopsida; Poales; Poaceae. The record is from RNAcentral.